Molecule: ribosomal RNA, 576 nt
Filed under: uncultured bacterium
Lineage: Bacteria
Description: bacterial SSU rRNA
Rfam family: Bacterial small subunit ribosomal RNA
Source: RNAcentral
ACGGGUGAGUAAUACAUCGGAACGUAUCCUGGAGUGGGGGAUAGCCCGGCGAAAGCCGGAUUAAUACCGCAUACGCUCUGAGGAGGAAAGCGGGGGACCUUCGGGCCUCGCGCUCAAGGGGCGGCCGAUGGCGGAUUAGGUAGUUGGUGGGGUAAAGGCCUACCAAGCCGACGAUCCGUAGCUGGUCUGAGAGGACGACCAGCCACACUGGGACUGAGACACGGCCCAGACUCCUACGGGAGGCAGCAGUGGGGAAUUUUGGACAAUGGGGGCAACCCUGAUCCAGCAAUGCCGCGUGUGUGAAGAAGGCCUUCGGGUUGUAAAGCACUUUUGUCCGGAAAGAAAUCAUCGGGGCCAAUACCCCUGGUGGAUGACGGUACCGGAAGAAUAAGCACCGGCUAACUACGUGCCAGCAGCCGCGGUAAUACGUAGGGUGCGAGCGUUAAUCGGAAUUACUGGGCGUAAAGCGUGCGCAGGCGGUGCUGUAAGACCGAUGUGAAAUCCCCGGGCUUAACCUGGGAACUGCAUUGGUGACUGCAGCGCUGGAGUAUGGCAGAGGGGGGUGGAAUUCCACGU